UUUUAGCAAAAUUACAAUUUUACCCUAUACUUUUGAUUUCUUUAUAAAUUAGUCUUUAGGCUCGUAAAAUGAAAUUCAUGCAAUUUCAUCCCUACCCAAGCCUAGUCGAAUAUCAUACAAGCUUAUAGUAGCCCACACAUUUCAUUAAUUCAUAAAUUACACAAUGAAUAUUUUAUAUUUUUCAAUUUAACCCCUAAUUGACAAAUUUAUCAAAAAUCACUUAACGAAAGUUAUUUAUCUAACAAUAAGGAUUCAUUUUCUUCCAUUAAACAUCACAAGAAACUAAAAUUCAUUCAUGGUAAAACCCUAGACAUUCAAAAUUUUUUCAAAUUAGUCCAUGAGCUAGCUAGAUUAAGCUACAACGACUCCAAAAACAUAGAAAUCAUUAAAAACGGGACAAAAACGACUUACAUGCAAGCUAGAAUGCCAUGGCCGAAC
This 438-nucleotide long non-coding RNA is filed under the name Gossypium raimondii (Peruvian cotton). Its description in RNAcentral is "long non-coding RNA (GRAI_LNC001845)". The record is from RNAcentral. Lineage: Eukaryota; Viridiplantae; Streptophyta; Magnoliopsida; Malvales; Malvaceae.